CCCUUCGGGGCGCCCGCCAGCGGCCGCGAGCCGCCUGAACUUUUUUUAAACCGUAACGAAACGUCUGAGAAACAAACAAAACAGCCAAAACUUUCAACAACGGAUCUCUUGGCUCUGGCAUCGAUGAAGAACGCAGCGAAAUGCGAUACGUAAUGCGAAUUGCAGAAUUCAGCGAGUCAUCGAAUCUUUGAACGCACAUUGCGCCCGCCAGCAUUCUGGCGGGCAUGCCUGUCCGAGCGUCAUUUCCCCCCUCAGCACGCCCUUUGGGUGCGCUGGCGUUGGGGCUCCUCCGCCCUCUGUGGCGGCAGGGCCCUCAAAUCCAGUGGCGGGCCCGUCUGGUUGGCUCCGAGCGCAGUACCGAACGCAAGUUCUCUCUCUCGCUCUGCAGCCCCGGCCGGCGCCCAGCCGUCAAGCCGCGCAGGCGACCCUCUCGAGGGCCGCCUCGCAUUUUUACAAGG
This 458-nucleotide ribosomal RNA is filed under the name Ophiostoma canum. RNAcentral describes it as "eukaryotic LSU rRNA". The stretch from base 89 to 242 matches the Rfam family "5.8S ribosomal RNA". Lineage: Eukaryota; Fungi; Ascomycota; Sordariomycetes; Ophiostomatales; Ophiostomataceae. The record is from RNAcentral.